GCCUUCGUAGUGUAACGGUAGCACACUCGGCGUGUAUUCCAGAGGUCCAGGUUUGAGUCUCGGCGAAGGCG
This 71-nucleotide transfer RNA is filed under the name Stegodyphus mimosarum. It matches the Rfam family "tRNA". From Rfam's summary of the family: Transfer RNA (tRNA) molecules are approximately 80 nucleotides in length. Lineage: Eukaryota; Metazoa; Arthropoda; Arachnida; Araneae; Eresidae. The record is from Rfam by way of RNAcentral.